RNAcentral lists this ribosomal RNA (468 nucleotides) under uncultured bacterium. Its description in RNAcentral is "partial 16S ribosomal RNA". It matches the Rfam family "Bacterial small subunit ribosomal RNA", at positions 28 to 507 of the family's 1533-position model. The record is from RNAcentral.
GACGAACGCUGGCGGCGUGCUUAACACAUGCCAGUCGAACGAAAAGGCCCUGCUUUUGUGGGGUGCUCGAGUGGCGAACGGGUGAGUAACACGUGUGUAACCUGCCCUUGACUUUGGGAUAACUCCAGGAAACUGGGGCUAAUACCGCAUAGGAGCUCCUGCUCCAUGGUGGUGGUUGGAAAGAUUCGGCGGUUGGGGAUGGUCUCGCGGCUUAUGAGCUUGUUGGUGGGGUAGUGGCUUACGAGGGCUUUGACGGGUAGCCGGCAUGAGAGGGUGACCGGCCACCUGGGGACUGAGAUAGGGCCCAGUCGGCUACGGGAGGCAGCAGUGGAGAAUAUUGCGCAAUGGGCGGAAGUGUGAGGCAGCAACGCCGCGUGCGGGAUGACGGCCUUCGGGUUGAAAACCGAUUUGGCAUGUGACGAAGCGGGAGUGACGGUAAUGGGUAAAGAAGCACCGGCUAACUACGUG